Molecule: RNA transcript, 2202 nt
Organism: Triticum aestivum (bread wheat)
Lineage: Eukaryota; Viridiplantae; Streptophyta; Magnoliopsida; Poales; Poaceae
Gene name: phosphatidylinositol 4-phosphate 5-kinase 6
Exons: 2
Source: RefSeq, a predicted model, not a curated record
UCCAACCCUCUAUCCCAACCCAGCACUAUGCCGCCGCCGCCCCCUAUCCUCUUUCUCUAUACGGGCGCGCAGCCUCAUCCUCCCCCAACCUGGUCGCCGGCAGCCCCUGCGUCAGGCCCUCUGUUCCCCCCAGCGAGGCCGAGAUGGUAGCACGGCGCGCAGCCCCAUCCUCCCCAGCCUGGUCGCCGGCCAGCCCCUAGCGCUAGGCCCUCCGUUUAUCGGUGGCGGUGUUGGCGUUGAAGGAUGGGGCGAUGAUGCCGUCGGACUCUUGGAAAAGCAACGCAGGCAGAGGAAGAGCACGCGCCCCGGCGUCGGAGGAGGCUUGGCAGGAGAUGGUUGUUCUGCUGCAGGUACGUGAACGGGGUGGCUAGGUUGACAAGCUGGCCUCCUCCGGCAUCCUCUCUUCGCCCCGCUCCGGCUCCAGCCCCUCGCUUGCCGCCUCCUGCGACGCCGAUGUUGAGCUCUCUUGCGAGGCGUGUUCCGCCCGAGCCAGGAGUUCGUCGAGCGCGGCCUCCCCCAACGGGGAGUUCUACAUCUGGCAGUGGCGCGUUGGCGUGCCGCACGACGCUGGGAUGUACUUGUGGAUGGACGGGUGGAUGUACGAGGGGGAGUGGUGGCACGGGCCGGGGCAAGUUCUCCUGGCCGUCGGGCCGGGAGUCACCUUAGAGGGCGAGUUCAAGGACGGCUUCAUGGAUGGCGACGACACCUACACCGCCGCCGCCGGGGAUAGGUACAAGGGCUCCUGGUCCAUGAAACUUAAGCACGGCAACGACAGGAAGAACUACGUCAACGGCGACCAGUAAGACGGCGAGUGGCACUCCGGGCUACAAGACGGCGCCGACCGCUACAUCUUGUGCUCAGCCCUGCAGGCUGCAGCAUAGAGAAUUCUCUUGUGUAUUCAGUUCGGUUAGGUUCAGUUAAGUUGAGUUGAGUGGAGGCAUGCAGCUGUUGUCGGCAGGCCUUGUUCUUCUGGUUCUCGUCCCACGCCUUCACCGACGACAACUUCCGAUUCAUCUCCACCUUCACAAGCACCACGUCUAUACGCGAGUUCAUUCAUUUCGUGUGUUUUUGUAUUCAUACCAAACAAAUUAAAACUGAAAAUCUGCAAACCAAAUUCACCGAAACUUGAAGCAGAGGAUGGACUACAUGAUGUACGUAGCUUUGUAAGUUUCUGAACCUGGAGUUGUUGUUGGCGCUGGGGCUCCAUCAGCAGCAGCAAGACGGAUCGAUCGAUUAGAGUUAGCAACUUAGCAUAGCACCAAACUGAUGCCGGAGUGAUAUAUCCAUGUCUGAACGUUUGUAAACACUGCCACUACCAUUCUAGAGUCACCCUGGUGGACGACGCGCGUAGGAGCGUGAGGACGGCGGGGAGAGCGGGGCGCUUCUGCCGCCGUCGUCCCGGGCGCCACACAUCGCCAAGUGGGUGUCCCCGCGGCAGGCCAAGCAGCAGGAGGAGACCAUCGUAAUUGACGCAAGCACUAGGAGCUCCUACUCAACUUGCAGCUCGGGAUCAGGUGGGUUGCUUCGGUCAUCUCCCUUCGUCAGCGAGUCUGAAUUACGAUGUGUUCAAGGAAUAUAGUCAAGACUAAAAUAUUUGCAUUUGCUUUCAGUACCUUUGCUCCACACAGAGUUAUAGGAAUAUAGUAAAGACUAAAAUGUGUGUUCAUCUGGAAGCCUAUAUAGACGCUAAACAAUAUUUUAGUGUGUCAUCACCUGCAUAGACUUUUCUCCCGUAAUAGUGUGCUUCCAGUUUGUUGGUUCAUGGACGGUCAGAUGGUUGCAGCGUACCACCUGCUUCGCUGGAUCGACUUGAAUAGAUUGGCUGUUGAUGAUAUGUCUUUUAGGACCAGCAGCAGUGGUUUGAUUCAGAUGUAAAUCUCACUAUCGCUACAUCAGGGUCAAUAUGUUAGGUCUAAGAAGAGAAGCAAAGCUUCGUCCUUCCAUUACCCACUAUCACUAUAUAAAGUGGAUCACUUAUGCAUGUAUCAAUUAGAUUAUCUUUUUUUGUAUGAACUACUUUACCACGAAUUGAAUCUUGGAACGACUUACGAAAUAUUAAAAAAAACUAAAUAGCUUAUCAAUUCUUUUGGCGCGGCGUGCCGCCGCGCACUAUUCGCUAUCACUUACCAUGGCUCUAAAUUUUCCUGUUUGAUGCUUGUGGCCUUAAUAGCAAGAGAGACUUUCCACGGCUCUGGCUCUCAC